Molecule: ribosomal RNA, 460 nt
Filed under: uncultured bacterium
Lineage: Bacteria
Description: partial 16S ribosomal RNA
Rfam family: Bacterial small subunit ribosomal RNA
Source: RNAcentral
CCUACGGGAGGCAGCAGUGAGGAAUAUUGGUCAAUGGACGAGAGUCUGAACCAGCCAAGUAGCGUGAAGGAUGACUGCCCUAUGGGUUGUAAACUUCUUUUAUAUGGGAAUAAAACGUUCCACGUGUGGGAUUUUGUAUGUACCAUAUGAAUAAGGAUCGGCUAACUCCGUGCCAGCAGCCGCGGUAAUACGGAGGAUCCGAGCGUUAUCCGGAUUUAUUGGGUUUAAAGGGAGCGUAGGUGGAUUGUUAAGUCAGUUGUGAAAGUUUGCGGCUCAACCGUAAAAUUGCAGUUGAAACUGGCAGUCUUGAGUACAGUAGAGGUGAGCGGAAUUCGUGGUGUAGCGGUGAAAUGCUUAGAUAUCGCGAAGAACUCCGAUUGCGAAGGCAGUUCACUGGACUGCAACUGACACUGAGGCUCGAAAGUGUGGGUAUCAAACAGGAUUAGAUACCCUUGUAGUC